This 323-nucleotide ribosomal RNA is filed under the name uncultured Photobacterium sp. RNAcentral describes it as "bacterial SSU rRNA". It matches the Rfam family "Bacterial small subunit ribosomal RNA", at positions 30 to 334 of the family's 1533-position model. Lineage: Bacteria; Pseudomonadati; Pseudomonadota; Gammaproteobacteria; Vibrionales; Vibrionaceae. The record is from RNAcentral.
AUUGAACGCUGGCGGCAGGCCUAACACAUGCAAGUCGAGCGGUAACAGGAAUUAGCUUGCUAAUUUGCUGACGAGCGGCGGACGGGUGAGUAAUGCCUGGGAUAUGCCUUAGUGUGGGGGAUAACUAUUGGAAACGAUGGCUAAUACCGCAUAACGUCUUUGUUCAUUACGAGCGGGACCAAAGAGGGGGACCUUCGGGCCUCUCGCGCUAAGAUUAGCCCAGGUGGGAUUAGCUAGUUGGUGAGGUAAAGGCUCACCAAGGCAACGAUCCCUAGCUGGUCUGAGAGGAUGAUCAGCCACACUGGAACUGAGACACGGUCCAG